GCGCCUAUAGUGAAAGGGACAUCACCCGAGAUUCCGGUUCUCGUGUUCCAGGUUCGAAUCCUGGUAGGCGCACCA
RNAcentral lists this transfer RNA (75 nucleotides) under Salibacterium salarium. RNAcentral's name for it is "Bacillus salarius tRNA-Arg". It matches the Rfam family "tRNA". Rfam says of the family: Transfer RNA (tRNA) molecules are approximately 80 nucleotides in length. Their secondary structure includes four short double-helical elements and three loops (D, anti-codon, and T loops). Lineage: Bacteria; Bacillati; Bacillota; Bacilli; Caryophanales; Bacillaceae. The record is from RNAcentral.